UGAGGGAAAGGCGAAAAGAACCCCGGCGAGGGGAGUGAAAAAGAACCUGAAACCGUGUACGUACAAGCAGUGGGAGCCCCACCACUAAGCCAGUGGUGAACUCCACAUCCGCAUCCUUUGCUGAGGAUACGGUUAACGGAGCGAAAGCGACGUUCAACCGCAAAACAAGCAGAGGGGGCUUAGUGGUGGGGUGACUGCGUACCUUUUGUAUAAUGGGUCAGCGACUUAUAUUCUGUAGCAAGGUUAACCGUAUAGGGGAGCCGUAGGGAAACCGAGUCUUAACCGGGCGUUAAGUUGCAGGGUAUAGACCCGAAACCCGGUGAUCUAGCCAUGGGCAGGUUGAAGGUUGGGUAACACUAACUGGAGGACCGAACCGACUAAUGUUGAAAAAUUAGCGGAUGACCUGUGGCUGGGGGUGAAAGGCCAAUCAAACCGGGAGAUAGCUGGUUCUCCCCGAAAGCUAUUUAGGUAGCGCCUCGUGAAUUCAUCUCCGGGGGUAGAGCACUGUUUCGGCUAGGGGGCCAUCCCGGCUUACCAACCCGAUGCAAACUGCGAAUACCGGAGAAUGUUAUCACGGGAGACACACGGCGGGUGCUAACGUCCGUCGUGAAGAGGGAAACAACCCAGACCGCCAGCUAAGGUCCCAAAGUCAUGGUUAAGUGGGAAACGAUGUGGGAAGGCCCAGACAGCCAGGAUGUUGGCUUAGAAGCAGCCAUCAUUUAAAGAAAGCGUAAUAGCUCACUGGUCGAGUCGGCCUGCGCGGAAGAUGUAACGGGGCUAAACCAUGCACCGAAGCUGCGGCAGCGACGCUGAUGCGUUGUUGGGUAGGGGAGCGUUCUGUAAGCCUGUGAAGGUGUGUCGUGAGGCAUGCUGGAGGUAUCAGAAGUGCGAAUGCUGACAUAAGUAACGAUAAAGCGGGUGAAAAGCCCGCUCGCCGGAAGACCA
Molecule: ribosomal RNA, 945 nt
Filed under: Salmonella enterica subsp. enterica serovar Typhimurium
Lineage: Bacteria; Pseudomonadati; Pseudomonadota; Gammaproteobacteria; Enterobacterales; Enterobacteriaceae
Description: partial 23S ribosomal RNA
Rfam family: Bacterial large subunit ribosomal RNA
Source: RNAcentral